GUGUGCACUCUAGAACACCUGA
RNAcentral lists this microRNA (22 nucleotides) under Ornithorhynchus anatinus (platypus). RNAcentral describes it as "oan-miR-7436-3p". Lineage: Eukaryota; Metazoa; Chordata; Mammalia; Monotremata; Ornithorhynchidae. The record is from miRBase by way of RNAcentral.